This is a long non-coding RNA of Micropterus salmoides (largemouth bass), 2316 nucleotides long. RefSeq lists it as uncharacterized. The transcript is spliced from 2 exons. NCBI's taxonomy places the organism in Eukaryota, Metazoa, Chordata, Actinopteri, Centrarchiformes, Centrarchidae. The record is from RefSeq and is a predicted model, not a curated record.
GUUUUUGGACUCUGUCAUCAGCCACCAAGUUUGGGGAAACGGAGCGAAGGGCGAAGGAAAAGUGGAUCCAAUGCAUCAACCUCCUCACACUCAAUUUUGUUCAACCACUUCCACCUCCGAUCCUUCAUUCCCUCUUCGAGCAAGCAUUUCAUUAGGAGGAGAACUCCAGUUUUUUUAGGUGACUCUCCGCUUAGGACUGAUUUCUUAUUCUUGACUGCUGAUUGUCUGCUGCUCCACACUUAAUAAUUCAUGAAUUGCAGAAGUUAGAAACAAAGUGGAAUUGUUUCUUUAUCUCCAUGUUGUUUGUACCACACAAGUGUUGAAAAUGUGAAAGUAAUGUAUUUUGAUAAUGAGCUUCACUGUGAUCAGGUGCAGUUACAGGUUUGUCUGUGACCUUAACUCAGACAUAUACACACAAACAAAAAAACUGUAUGCAGCACAAAUGACACCAAUCUAUCUUUGAGUAAUUUCCCAUCAGCAUUCAGUAGUUGAUAAAUAAACAGUCACAGCGAUCUUUGUUGCAUAACGUAUGGUUUCAGAUGCAUUCUGGAUAUUUUACAUAAAACAUGAAUAUGUUGCAGACACUCAGUAGAGAUAGAAGUGUGCUUCACUGAAUAAAAGUCUUUGAUAAGUGCUAAAACAAAAAUAAGAAUCUUAUAAGAGGAAGGCAGCAGACUUAAAAAAAAAAAACAAAAUAGAAAAAUAGUACUUACUUGACACUGGACAAAAGGAAAUGCUUUAACCUUUAUCAGAGUAAAAAAUUCCUUACAAGGCCAGGUGAGGUGAUCUCAGCAGGUGAAUAUAAUGAUGAUAAUUAAUGGAUGACUUGUCCUUGUAGACCUUUAACACAGCAGAUAUUGUGACUUGUCAUAGCAGGAAGAGACAAAUGCAACUAAUGACAUUAAUGACAACUCAUUCCCAUAUAUGCCUGGCAGUAAGUCAUGCCUGUGAGCCAGUAUGCACAAAGCCCCUAACCAACCAGGGGUACUUUAGGGGUGCAUCUGCAGCAGGGGGAACAUGGUAAGUACAACUAAUUAAAGGAAUUUUAAACCUGGGCCUGUGUCAAAAUUAUUCUAGUUACAACUGUGUUCAAGUCCAAAUAUUGUCUGUGAGGAAGGUCUUUUCAGUAGGCAACAUUGUAUUUUCUCUAAGGUAAAUCUCAUUUGUCUUCUGUCCUCGCUUGACCCAGAAAUCGAUCACAUCCCCCAUCGUUAAGGAGGUAAUUUAUCUAAUGCUGUUCAGUGGAAUGAUAAAAAGAUGGAAGAGCAGGCUAAUAAGAGAAAUGGAUGGACCUAAAGACUUUCUGAGUUUAAGGUGUGCAACCUAGGUUCAGUGAGGCAGUGAUCAUUAUUCUUAAUAUAUACAUUUUGUUUUACUACCCUUCUCAAGGAAUACACAUUAAGAAAUAUUACAAUUUGCAUUUGAUGUGUGAUAAGGCGGAAAAAAUACUAUGAUUUUGCAGGAUAUAAGCCAUGGCAAUUUCCUCAUACUGAAAAAAAGUAAUACCAUAUUCUACUUGUGGAAAAAAGCUCAUUUUUAAUGUCAAGCAGCGAGGGAAAAAUACUUUCCAGAGAUAUGAAAGGAGCUGCUUAGCAUGCGUUAGCGAUUCUUAUAAUGGUUUGAGGUUUAUUGACAGCCCUGUGGCAGCAGGACAAAUCAAGAUGGAAGCUUGUGUAAUACUGCACCUAAGUCAUGCUUUUCCCACUGGACUAGUCUUUUCAGACUAGCCAGCCUGAUUACCACUACUUCUGUUUUUGUCGCUCUCAUCUAUCCAUCUGUCUUGUCUUACAGUUUGCCCUUGGACCUGUUUCCUUUAAAGUUGUUUUGUAAUGAGCUGUGGAGGAGAUGGUAAAGCAAAACAUGAUGCAUUAUUGAUUCCCGCCAUGCAGCUCUGAAGUUGUUAAUGGCUAGGAUGCUCCACGAGACAUUUAAGUUUUAGAUUAUAGUCUAAGAGGCAGUGAAGGAGCGUUUAGGGCCUUGUCAAAAGUAAAACUGGCAGAUGGGAGUUUAUGAUUCAACAUUAUUGCAAAGCAUCAUCACCACAUAAAAGCAUUAUCUGUAAGCUUGGCAGACAUUUACAUCUGGAUUGAAUUCAACAAACUUUGAUGUUAACAAUACAGUAUGUUGUUUCCAGAGUGGGCUAAAACCUCGAAAAUCAUCUGCUAAUCUUGUUUAUAAUGUUGACACUGUUUACAUGAUUUGUUUUGGCCUGAAUAUCUCUUUGUGGUGUACAGUAACCUUACUGCUUCAAUGUGACAUAAAAGACUAUGUUUCUUAAAAUGAUGGGAUGAUGUGAUUAAACAUUUAUUCAUCUGC